This 380-nucleotide ribosomal RNA is filed under the name Hartigia trimaculata. Its description in RNAcentral is "partial 16S ribosomal RNA". The record is from RNAcentral. Lineage: Eukaryota; Metazoa; Arthropoda; Insecta; Hymenoptera; Cephidae.
AUAAUCAUUAGUUUUUUAAUUGAAAGCUUGUAUGAACGAUUGGAUAAGAUAUUAAUUGUCUCAUAAUUAUUUAUUAUAAAAUUUAAUUUUUAAGUUAAAAAGCUUAAAUAUUAUUAAAGGACGAGAAGACCCUAUAGAUUUUUAUAAAAUAAUUAUUUUAAUAUAUUAAUAUUAUAUUUUAUAUCAUUUAAUUAUUUUAUUUUGUUGGGGUGACAUUAAAAUUUAAUUAACUUUUAAUUUAAAUUAAACAUUAAUUUAUGAAUUUUUAAUAAUUAAUUAAUUAUUAAUUAUUGACCCUAAAUUUUAGGUUAUAAAAUUAAAAUACCUUAGGGAUAACAGCGUAAUUUAUUUGGAGAGAUCAUAUUAAUAAAUAAGUUUGC